UGCCAGCAGCCGCGGUAAUACGUAGGUCCCGAGCGUUGUCCGGAUUUAUUGGGCGUAAAGCGAGCGCAGGCGGUUUGAUAAGUCUGAAGUUAAAGGCUGUGGCUCAACCAUAGUUCGCUUUGGAAACUGUCAAACUUGAGUGCAGAAGGGGAGAGUGGAAUUCCAUGUGUAGCGGUGAAAUGCGUAGAUAUAUGGAGGAACACCGGUGGCGAAAGCGGCUCUCUGGUCUGUAACUGACGCUGAGGCUCGAAAGCGUGGGGAGCGAACAGGAUUAGAUA
Molecule: ribosomal RNA, 278 nt
Filed under: uncultured bacterium
Lineage: Bacteria
Description: partial 16S ribosomal RNA
Rfam family: Bacterial small subunit ribosomal RNA
Source: RNAcentral